RNAcentral lists this long non-coding RNA (739 nucleotides) under Nicotiana benthamiana. Its description in RNAcentral is "long non-coding RNA (NBEN_LNC022392)". The record is from RNAcentral. Lineage: Eukaryota; Viridiplantae; Streptophyta; Magnoliopsida; Solanales; Solanaceae.
GGAUAACAAAAUUGAAGAGUAUUUUGAAUUGGAGUGGAUAAGAGCCCGGAAAGAGGAUUGGCAAGAACCUCCAGGGUAUCAUUAAGCCUAUCCAGUUGAAGAAGCGCAAGACUACUUUUGGCCUGGGUUAUGAAUACACUUGGGAAGAGUUCAAUCACUGGUCGCCACCAUGGCGCUGCCCCUACUACCCACUGGAGCACCCUCUACCUCAGUUAGAGCAAACAUUUCAGCCUGUUGAUGUCAUAUAUGGAUCAGAGGAAGAUGAGACACUGACAGCAAUGAAGAACUUGUUUCUGGAGGAUGAUAUGGAUUGUUGUGUUGUCUUCGAGGAGGAAGGGGAGGAAGCCCCUUCAUACCCCAACUGGAGCAGACUUUUCAUCCAGUGAUGUUAUAUACGAAUCAGAGGAAGAUGAGACACUGGCAGCAAUGAAGAACCUGUUUUUGGAGGAUGAUAUGUAUUGUUGUGUUAUUUUCGAGGAGGAAAGGGAAGAAGGCCCUUCCAUUCAAGCUGUAAAUCGGGGAGAACACCUCACCAAUUGGUCAAUCAGGACCACUAAUGCCCGGAGAGCCUCGGGGUAGCAAGGCUAAACGAUGCAUAUGCAUCGCACUUUACUUUAAAUGAUUUUACUUUUCAGCAUUGUCUUUAAUUUUGAAAAGAGCUCUGAUGUUUCAUACAUUUAUGAAUUAAAUUAAAAGUAUUUUUGAGUUUCUCUUUAUAUUUCGCUCACAUUUAUUUUCU